UGGGGAAUUUUGGACAAUGGGCGAAAGCCUGAUCUAGCCAUGCCGCGUGAGUGAAGAAGGCCUUCGGGUUGUAAAGCUCUUUUAGUCGGAAAGAAAGAGUUGCAAUGAAUAAUUGUGAUUUAUGACGGUACCGACAGAAAAAGCACCGGCUAACUACGUGCCAGCAGCCGCGGUAAUACGUAGGGUGCGAGCGUUAAUCGGAAUUACUGGGCGUAAAGGGUGCGCAGGCGGUCUUGCAAGUCAGAUGUGAAAGCCCCGGGCUUAACCUGGGAAUUGCGUUUGAAACUACAAGGCUAGAGUGCAGCAGAGGGGAGUGGAAUUCCAUGUGUAGCAGUGAAAUGCGUAGAGAUGUGGAAGAACACCGAUGGCGAAGGCAGCUCCCUGGGUUGACACUGACGCUCAUGCACGAAAGCGUGGGGAGCAAACA
RNAcentral lists this ribosomal RNA (427 nucleotides) under uncultured beta proteobacterium. Its description in RNAcentral is "bacterial SSU rRNA". It matches the Rfam family "Bacterial small subunit ribosomal RNA", at positions 355 to 774 of the family's 1533-position model. Lineage: Bacteria; Pseudomonadati; Pseudomonadota; Betaproteobacteria. The record is from RNAcentral.